UACGAAGGGGGCAAGCGUUGCUCGGAAUUAUUGGGCGUAAAGCGCACGUAGGCGGCUUUGUAAGUCGGGGGUGAAAUCCUGGAGCUCAACUCCAGAACUGCCUUCGAUACUGGAAAGCUCGAGUCCGGGAGAGGUGAGUGGAACUGCGAGUGUAGAGGUGAAAUUCGUAGAUAUUCGCAGGAACACCAGUGGCGAAGGCGGCUCACUGGCCCGGUACUGACGCUGAGGUGCGAAAGCGUGGGGAGCAAACAGG
Molecule: ribosomal RNA, 253 nt
Filed under: uncultured bacterium
Lineage: Bacteria
Description: partial 16S ribosomal RNA
Rfam family: Bacterial small subunit ribosomal RNA
Source: RNAcentral